This is a long non-coding RNA of Gavialis gangeticus (Gharial), 749 nucleotides long. RefSeq lists it as uncharacterized. The record is from RefSeq and is a predicted model, not a curated record. NCBI's taxonomy places the organism in Eukaryota, Metazoa, Chordata, Crocodylia, Gavialidae. The transcript has 2 exons.
AUUUAUCCUUGUGAUUCUGUUGGCUGUGCCUAGAGGUAGGGCGGUGCACAACCAAGAGGAGCAGGGUUCUGAGCCAGCCAGGAAGGGAGGUAGAGGAUUCGGGGGGCUGGCCGCUUUGCGCCUGUGUGAUGAGCCAUGGCUGCAGUGCAAGUGCAGGCACAAUGGGAGCUGAGGCGCUGCAGCGUGCCUGAGCUCCCUGACCUCGGGCUGGCUGUGUGCAGGUGGGCACACUAAGCUGCCAGGGCCAGGCAGUUGGUCUACACACACCUACCUCUGCACUGCCUCAGCAGAAGAUAAUGGCUUUGAUAGCAGGCAGGUAAGAGCACUGCAUUUGUAUCUGCUGGAAUGCCAGUGGGACUGGAAGGAGGCUCUUGUAACCAUAUUUGCACCCACAGAGCAGGCCAGGAAACCUAUCUGUCUCCUGGAGAAGGAAGGGACGGUCCCACUAGGCAGCUGGCUGCAUUGCCACAGACAUCCAACGCCCACUGACUCCACUCAGCCCAGCUCCGACCAGACUGUGACCAGGGCAGAUUCCUGGGUGUCCAGUGUUCGUGCUGAAUGCUGAUGGGGGGAGGAGAGGUCCCUGUCUAAUGUGAGUCCCUGGCUCCCAAGCAUGGAGCUGGGCUAGAGUGAGACCGGAUCCCAGUGGAGGGAGAAGGUGUUUAAGCCUCACACCUGCUAUGCCAUGUUCUCUGUGGCAUUCAAUGUCAUUACAAGUGCAACAAAAUAACUGUCAGCAAUAAGCCAAG